CCUGUAAUGAGGAGAGAGUGGAAUGGGAACCAAUAGUCAAGACCAGCCAGACGAGCAGAAGCAUGAUGGACUGGAUGGCAUUGCCAAAAGACCUUCAGGAAUCCAGAGAUUGUGGGAGAUUGCUCAUGUGCUUUUUCUUUCAGGGCCAGCAAAUUCCCUUAGAGAUUACUGGGCAUCUCUUUAGAAACCACCCUCCUUAAUUCUUCUAUGACACCAGGAGGAAGCCGGCAAUUCAGACUUGGACUUCUCUGAGCCGCAUUCUUUUCUGGCCAACUUGGACGCCUUACAUCGAAGCUGAUGUGGCUCAGCACCAAGAUCAGGCUGGAGGGUACUUGUUAACUGGCAGUGCCACAGAGGUCUCCUCUCUUCCUUGCCUAUAUAAAGUCACUUCUUUUCUGGGCGGUGGUUAAUUCAUUGAAUAUCAAAUGAAGACUUAUGACAAUUGGGGGGAGUGCUAAAUAUAAAUAUGCACUAUCUAAGGUGCAUUCCAAGACACCUCUAACCUUUAGUUUCAUAGAUACCUCUGGUUCGUGUAUUGCUUUAUUAGUGCGGGUUUUAUCCAGAAGGUGGCAUCACAGAACCUGAGGUUCACUCACCAAAGGUCAAAACAAUCCCCAUUUCUUUGUGAUGAGAAACUAAACUAUGUAGCCUUUAUGCAGCAUGUUGACAUUUCAAACAUAUUUCUUUAUCCUUGUAAUUGGUUAAAUAAUUUUAGACCCAUGGAUGAUGGGGGUCAUUAUGGUUGUCUAUCCAGUGAUAACCUGAUUUCUGAGAUACUUAGAAAAACCCAUACUCAAGCCCAUGUUCCUUCAUCAGGUGACACGACGGAGACCAAGAUGGGCUUAGUUCCUAGUCAAAAACACAUGUGAAACUUGACAAUAACUGUGAUGCCUUCUUCCCAUUCCACACUCACUUGUUGUUCCCACUGACCAUCAAAGUCAACUUAGGUCACUUCGUUGGGGGAGGGGUGGGGAAGACCUAAGUGAAUGGUUUAAUGGGUAGAUCUGCUGAGUAUUGGCACUUAAAAAUAAGUCACGGGGGUGAGGAUUCCAAAAAGGUGACUCUAAUUGGUGGCAUUCUCAAAAUCAGAACUCUCAGGGAAAGAGAAGGUGACCCUCCUUAGAAUUUUAGGUGAGAGCUGGUUCAGUGGUUCUUUCCCAGAGUUCAUACCUAGGACAGCCAUGUCACUGAGCCUCAUGAGGCAUGUAGUCAUGAAUGUCUACUCGCUGGUGGGAAUGUUAAUGUGCUUUAAAUUCUUUGUGUGAAGUAUCCCUCGCCAACUCCUGUUUGCCUUAUGUAUUUUUUCAUUCAUCUUAUUCAUGUGGGUGAUGGAAAGAAAAUGGACAUUAUUGGACCCUUUAAGGCAAGGGCCUUGAGAUGGAGUGUUAUACUUGUUCCCUGUUAUAUGCAGACAUUUCUGUCGCUGAAUAAUGUUCCAUUGUAUAUAUGUACCACAUUUUCUUCAGCCAUUCAACUCUUGAUGAACACAGGUUGUUUCCUUAUCUUGGUUGUUGUGAAUAAUGCCGCAAUUAACAUUAGGGUUCAGAUAUCUCUUUGAGAUAGUGAUUUCAUGUCCUUUGGAUAUAGACUCAGAAGUGGGAUUGCUGGAUCAUAUGGUAGUUCUAUUUUUAAUUUUUAGAGGAACUUCCGUACUGUUUUCCAUAGUAGUUGUACCAAUUUACAUGGGAGAAUACAUCUUGAACUAAAGAGGUUUCAUGACUGCUUCUGCAGCCACUUCUGAUUGUCGGUUCUCUUGAGGAGAAGGAUUAUAGAGUUAGAGGCUCAAAAAGGGAAGGCGUGUCACUGAUCAGGAAAGAUGGAAGGACUAACUCCUUCCUUCAGAUGCUUCAAGCCUAGAGGUGGGGAGAGGGCUGGGACGAGUGGCCCUCUGUAGAGCUGCUGUCAGAGCCUGAGGCAAAGCAGACAGGAGGAUAAGGGCCCUCAGUGUGAAAGGUGUACUGGCCUUUGUGUGUUCCAGAGUGUCUCCUGCCCACUUCCCCAUCCCUGGCACUACCUGGGAUCAGCCUAGCUGGAGGACAGACGAUAACAGUGCACACUGUUGAGUGUGACAUGAGAACAUGUGGCCCUCUGGCCAAGGUGAAAUUUUUAUGAUGGGGGCUGCUGCUUGUUUCUCCAGCUUCCUUGAGGAUUUUGCACUUAGCUGCUGGGGAAUGCAUUUGGGGUGUGGAAAUUUGGGGUCCCUGGGAAAUAAUAGGCCAUGGCCUGUUGUCAGUUUCUGUGCUCUGACGUGAAGGUGCUGAACAGAAUGUUGUCCACCAUGCAGAGCAAUUGCCUGUUAGGAAUCAUUAGGGAUCCCGGUUCUUUGUACGGGAAUUUGGUUGGAGUUCUAUCCAAGCGUUUCCAUAUUAGCUGUCUGCACUCUUCUGCUGAGCAUACUCUGCCCAUGGGUGGGAAGAGAAAAGUCACUGGGUCCUGUCAAUGAAUGAUACAUGAAGCUGGGGACAUUUGGAUCGUCAUGGGCACGUGCAGAUGAGCCUGGACCUCCAGGAAUGUCCCAGGUGAGCUG
Diceros bicornis minor is the source of this 2527-nucleotide long non-coding RNA. RefSeq lists it as uncharacterized. NCBI's taxonomy places the organism in Eukaryota, Metazoa, Chordata, Mammalia, Perissodactyla, Rhinocerotidae. The record is from RefSeq and is a predicted model, not a curated record. The transcript is spliced from 3 exons.